AAAUGUGGAAUUCUGGCAUAGAUGAAGUACAUGGAAAUCAAGAAAAUGGAUGCCAGAAAUAAGACUCAUCAACGCACUGAGUGUGGCCCAAGAUUUUUGCCUGCCUCCUACCCACUCAGCAAGGAGCCACAAUUUGAUCCUAGAGAUUUGAUUCUAAUUGAGCAGGCUACUGUGGGUUCCUGAGGAUUUCUCCAACAAGAACAGUUGUGUUUGGUAUGUGCAUCUGAGUCGUUCGUGAAGGAUGGAAACUUCUUGGACAAACCUCCAAGUCAAUCAAAAGGAUUACCAGGAUUUUAAUCCCAAAUAUCAAAUCCCCAGCUGUUGGUAAAAAUGUAUGAUCUAUGGUUCUAAAUGACCACAGUUGAGUGACACUUUGAUUUUCACACAGGCUCCUUUUAAGUGGCAGAUGGUAUUCUAGUUAGUUUGACUGUAAGCUUCCUGGAGUCUGGGUUCUCCUUGGGUGGCAAACCUAGGAGAACCUAUAUAAUGGCAAACUCACAUUAAUUGGUACCAGUGGAUUUGCAGAGCAAAGUCUAAUUUCCUUGGCCUUGUUCAUUCUGCUUCUCAGCUUUUCCCUAUUUUCUUUCCAUUUCUGAAUCCUUCCAAGUCUACCUCAUAAUCUACUGUGAGGUCCUCAAGGUGACUUUGACCCCAAUCAUCUCUUCUAUUUCUUACCUCCUAAUGCAUUUGUGGUGUGUACCAUCCAACUCAGUUUAUAAUAAUAUUAUGUUUCAUAUAUUUCUCUUAUUAAUAUAUGUACAUUGGCUCUUCCUCUUUUAACUCCAGUUCCUUGAGGGUAGGGACAUUAUUUCACACCAUCCUUAUAACUUCUUCCUUUCCUUGAUAGUGUCCAACUCAGUGCCAAACAUCCAGCAAUUAACUAAAUAUUUCCAUACGGUUUAAAACAUAACUCUAGAAGCCUUUUGAAAAAUGUCAGUAACUUGCGAGUUUACAUUUUAAGCCAUAAUCAGUUGACCCCUUAAUUGGAAAUGAGCACUUUCUCUGGGUAACUUGUAUAUUCAUGUGGGAGGGCAGCAUAUAUAGGGCUAUGGGGAAGGAUGGAGAAUGGUUUUCACUUACUUCAUACUGUCGCCUCUAUUUACCCCAGUCUUUGAGAGCAGAUAUAGUGGAUCAAUCCAAGGAAGCAGACAUCUCACUAGGUAUUUCAACAUAGAGAAUUUAG
Molecule: long non-coding RNA, 1183 nt
Filed under: Felis catus (domestic cat)
Lineage: Eukaryota; Metazoa; Chordata; Mammalia; Carnivora; Felidae
Description: lncRNA (ENSFCAG00000049654.1)
Source: RNAcentral